UAGGGAAUCUUCCACAAUGGACGCAAGUCUGAUGGAGCAACGCCGCGUGAGUGAAGAAGGUUUUCGGAUCGUAAAGCUCUGUUGUUGGUGAAGAGGGAUAGAGGCAGUAACUGGUCUUUAUUUGACGGUAAUCAACCAGAAAGUCACGGCUAACUACGUGCCAGCAGCCGCGGUAAUACGUAGGCGGCAAGCGUUGUCCGGAUUUAUUGGGCGUAAAGCGAGCGCAGGCGGAAUGAUAAGUCUGAUGUGAAAGCCCACGGCUCAACCGUGGAACUGCAUCGGAAACUGUCAUUCUUGAGUGCAGAAGAGGAGAGUGGAACUCCAUGUGUAGCGGUGGAAUGCGUAGAUAUAUGGAAGAACACCAGUGGCGAAGGCGGCUCUCUGGUCUGCAACUGACGCUGAGGCUCGAAAAGCAUGGGUAGC
This 423-nucleotide ribosomal RNA is filed under the name uncultured bacterium. RNAcentral's name for it is "partial 16S ribosomal RNA". It matches the Rfam family "Bacterial small subunit ribosomal RNA", at positions 355 to 769 of the family's 1533-position model. The record is from RNAcentral.